ACGCUCGACACCUACGGAAGGCAGCAGUCGGGAAUAUUGCGCAAUGGAGGAAACUCUGACGCAGUGACGCCGCGUGCAGGAAGAAGGUUUUCGGAUUGUAAACUGCUUUAGACAGGGAAGAGGAAGGACAGUACCUGUAGAAUAAGCUCCGGCUAACUACGUGCCAGCAGCCGCGGUAAUCUGAGCGGGCUGGCAAGGC
Molecule: ribosomal RNA, 199 nt
Filed under: uncultured bacterium
Lineage: Bacteria
Description: partial 16S ribosomal RNA
Rfam family: Bacterial small subunit ribosomal RNA
Source: RNAcentral